Long non-coding RNA from Tympanuchus pallidicinctus (lesser prairie-chicken), 11033 nucleotides. RefSeq lists it as uncharacterized. The transcript has 3 exons. The record is from RefSeq and is a predicted model, not a curated record. Lineage: Eukaryota; Metazoa; Chordata; Aves; Galliformes; Phasianidae.
AUAAUUGAAUAUAAAUAAUAAACAGAAAUAAGUAAAGGUUGUAAAAGAGGCUCAGAAAAUCUUGAAUAUCUAGAAGAUGAAAUUAACUAUUAAAAAUUCAUUUCCACAGAGAAAUGUGGUGUUUUCUUCUUUUUAGCUUUUUCAUAAAAUAGACCAUGCUGGAAAGGAAUAAUAAUCUAAUAUAUAUCAAAACAGUCAUUAAAUUGGUUCUGAAUUUUUGUGUUAAUAAUGCUGUAUAGUGCUUCCAAUGUAAUCUUGAGCUCUGAAUGCAUUGAGUCUGGAAAAAAAAAGCAAAGCAGCUGAAUAUGCCCAGUCCUUCCUAAGGUAGGUACUCCACACAGUGCUGUUGCAUAAAGCCAUUCUUCUGCAGACAUGAGAAAGAAUUACCAACACCAUUUUAGAGAUGGGGAGAUGGAUAACUCCUAAAGUUAAAUGUCUUACCAAAGCUUAAUAUGUUGUAGUUUAUAUAAAGAAAAAGGAAAUACUGCUUCUACUAGGAUUUUGAGGAUAUUCUUCAUAAACUAUUCUAAAUGAUUUGGUUUUAUGAAGCUGGUAUUGAAUGUAAUCUUUUCUUCUGGGCAACAUUUCAGGUUCUGACGCAUUCUUUUUUAAGAUCAACUGAUCAGUUGGUUUAGUUCAGUAGGUUUCAUUAAUAGCUAAGUACAGCGGUAAUUUAAAAUAUAAGUAAGAAAGGAGGACAGAUUUGGCUGACAUCAAAAAUCUUUAAAAUAUAUAAAAGAUGAAUUAAAAUUUUCAUCAGAUGAGAGUAGCUUCCCAUGUAAAAUAUUUUUCAGGGCUUUUUUGUUGAAUCCCAGCUCCUGUCUUUACUGAUAUUUAUGGUUUCACUAAAACGUUCAGGUAGAGAAAUACCUGCCCUCAUAAAUCAUUUGCAGAUAAUACUGGUUCAGACGCUCUCUGUCCAAAUUGAUAAUGGAUAUCUGAUUCAGAAGAAAUGUCUUGUUUCUCAAAGUUCUAUGGAGGAUGCUGGAAGCCAAAAAAAAAAACAAAAACAAAACACACUAACCAAACAGUAAAAGCAUGUAUUUUUUAAUUUCAGCAUUGUUUUUAUCUGUUUUGCAAGGUGCAGAGCUUGGAAAAGGAGGGAACCACAUCAUGAUCGUCUGAUUUGUGGGUUUUUUUUUCAAUUCAGUCUGGUUUCAGAAAGUGUAACUCUCUAUAUAUAUUGAGAGAUACACCAACCUGAGAAAUAUAAGUACAUUAUAAACAUUUUAAACCAACGAAGAUGUGAUAUGGAGCAGCAUGUGGUUCACCCACUGCAUUGUUCUGUUUUUUCAGCUGGCAAAUGUACCUGGUUUGUCUUUUUGCAGUUCAUUUUAUGUGUGCGUGUGUGGAGUUUUUGUGAGUUAUUUGUUGAUUUUUCUUUCGUGUAUUUACUCUUGCUGGUUUCUCUUCCUUUUAUAUUUGUACUCAUAUCUUAUGACUUGAUGGAUGUAAGACCAGGAAUGUUAUAAAUUCAGUUGCUUAGUUAUCAUGGAAGAGAUUGAGUUUUGGGUAAUCGUUUCCAUACCUUAUUGACUUCCCUGUUUUGGAAGAGGUUUUGGCUGGGUUGUAGGCUUUAUUUUAUUUCCUUGUCUGCCAAUAAUUUUCUUGUCUGUCAUCCAUCACAUCAAGAGAAUCAACAGGGAAAACCCAGAAAGUAGAGAUGAGUGGUGUCUUUUGGGAGAAAGGAAGCUACUGGGAAUGUGGAGUGGAAGCACUGCUUCCACUGUAUGGAGCACAGGCUGGUUUCUUCAGGCAUCUGUGUAAUAUGCUGUGUAACAGCAAGGUUACAUGAACUGCAUCAUGUAAGGUAACUGGAAUUAGAAUUUCUCAAGCAGUGACAAACUCUAAAAUCAGAGAAUGAUGUUGGGACUUCUGUCAUCUUUUUCAAAAAGAUAAUCAACUUUUUCUUGCCAUUUCUGGCUGUACCUAUUCAGUAUCAUUUGGCUGGACAUUUAAUAGAAUGAAAUCUGUACCAGGAUGCACAGGAUUUUUAGGACAGCUGGGGACAGGCCCAGGAUCUUGUGUGAUGCUUUUAAAAUCCUUCCUGGCAUUUAUGAAUUCACUGUACAGCCUGUAUGUUAAAAUUAGAGUUUAACUUCAGUUAUGAUUUAGAUACAAUGCUUGAAUAUUUUGCUUAUUUUGUCCUCCAGAGACCCAAACCUCUAUAGUUUUACACAUCUCUCAUGCAUAACAAAUUGAAAGUACGUUUGUUGAUUUGCUGGAAAUGAGUCAUGCGCUAAAAUCAUGCAGAUUCCUUUGUAUUCUUAUAACCACAAAACUAGUAUGAGCAGAGAUGAAAAAGUAGGUGGAGUUGGCCUUGAAAGAGAUGUUCUAAAUCUAAACAAGCUGUAUGAAAUGUUAUUGUCACAAAGGAAAAUUGAAAAAUACAACAAAAACAACUUCAUGCUUCUGAAGUAUUUCUGUUGCAGGUAAAUGUUGCCACAUAAGCUAAAGAAUGCUUAAUUGCCACAGUUUCCUAUUGAAGUUAAUCUGGGAAAUUUUCAGAAAUUCCUUUGUGUCUAAAAUGCCUGUGACUGAAAACGUUUUUAUCAGACACAGAUUUCUAAACUGUUGCAUUGGUAUAUAUUUAGGGAUUCACUCAUAUGUAUUGGUCAUUUAUUUAUUUAUAGAAAGCACUGUUCCUGAGCAUUAUUUUAAGAUACUGUAAGUCAGUAUAUUGCCUUUAAUAUGCCUCGGCUUCAAACUAUCUGUAACUCUGAUUUUUACCAGCUGUUGAUUUAAUUCUGUACUCACAAAAGUAGCGGUUAAGAAUAAGCUCAAAUUACAGAGCAGUGGUGUAUGUAUAAACAAGACAGGAAACCAUCCAAAGAAAAUCGUAUCUGCAGUCUUGAUUAUUGAAAGGGAAUAACAAUGUAAAUAGUUCAGGCAGCAUUUUAUUCCGUUUUAUGUCACCUCGCUGCUCUUUUGAUUUGUAUGGGUGAAGGUGAGAUAGCCUGUUCUGCCAGUGAUGAAGAUGCAGCAUUCUGAGUUAGCAAAAAGCUCAGUUUGUUCCUAUCUUUUUUGCUAUUUUGUAAUUUAAGUGUAUUCCCUUACUUUGUAAACUUAUCCGCAUUUAUCAGAUUGUCUGCACAGCAUAGGAAAAGUUACAUUUUCAGGGAUUUAAUUUAUACUUGUUUUAAUGAUAGCUGAGGGCUUUUACCAUUUGGCUGGAUCAAUACCUACCUAUAGGAAUUAGAUUUAUGAAUUAAUGUCUCAUUUCCUGCACGAAAGAAGAAAAAAUAAUUAGUUUGACGACUGUCUUGCCAACCUAUUUCCAUUUCAAGUGGUAUCUUCUACGUUCGCAGGUCUCCUUCACCUUAAGGUUUGUUUGUUUUUCAUAGCAGAAAGAGUUUUAGCAAGUAAUAUUAGAAACUUUCUAAAAUUAUAGCGUGUUAUCUUGUUCAACUAUCUUUUUGCAAUUAUGAUACGGAAAUAUUGCAUCAGCAACUUUCUAAACAUAGUAUGCAAUGGUGAAACGAGUUAAUUGAACAGUUAGGAGAUAAUGCAGUAUCAUUGACACGAUUUACUAUGUAAUUACCAUUGUUUCCAGUGGAGUUAUCAUGUCGCUACCACCUAAUAUCAUAUGUUAUUUUGUGAUAACUGUGAAAUUAACUUAUCAUCCUGUUUUGAGAGACCAUGUUGGUCUAAGACCAAUCACUCUCCACCAAAGUUAAAUAUAGGAGCUUGGUAAUAGGCUGACCUGCCCCCUAGCUUUGGAGUGUGGCAAUUAAAUCAUAAGCCUUAUAUUAAACCUUGGAGAGAAUGUAUCACUAAAACUCAUUUAUUUCAGAGUCCUGGGUGUCCUGAAUUAUAAAUAAGCUCUCUUGCUGCAAACAUCUAUCCAUCUAAAUGAGUCUGACAGUGUUUCUACAACAGGAGGAGAAAUAUUGCAUAAUCCAUCAAAACAUUUUAAAUGUCUUACAAUUAAAAUAAAUGUUUUUUUGAGUUGUGCAAUGAGGAACAUGAAUAUUUAUAUGAUAAUAGCAUGCAUCUCCAUACAGAUUCUUCCUGAAUUUGGUUUAUUAAUAUAUUUCUUAAUCUUCAUAAUUAAGUUAUGAUCCAAGCUUUUGCAUAUAUUAAUCAGAACAUAAGUAACUGGAAUUUUAUCUAAAUGAAAAUGUUCAGGAGUUUUGGAAUGUUCCCUUAAUAAUGGGAAGAAACAACCUUGCCUGUCCAUUUUUAACUUAAGUAGAAAUGAAUAGGAAGUAAGAAAAUAGUGGUGAGUUUUUGUUUUGGGGAUCCUUUUGAUAUACUUGGUUGUGAAUAUGUCUCCCAGUAACUUGGAAAUUAAAAUGUAUAGCUUUCUGUUUCACUUUCUACUUGCACAAACUUACGACCAUUAGUUCAAGUUCUGUUACCUUCUGCUGUAAUUUGAUAAGUAUUUACAUAAACAUAUAUCCUGUGUUCCUGCAUCGACAAAAUUAUCUUGAAUCAGUAAGUUUUGUUAUAAUUAGACUUGUUGCUUGUUUUUUCUUUUUUUCUUUUUUUUUUUUUUAAUUAGAAGUUAAUGUGGGAUAUUUUUAAUAUAAACAACUUUUCAUUUUAUUUUGUUAUUAGAGUUCUCCUUGUUCACAUAAUCUGUCUAUUUCCUCUUUGACUCAGCAAAUGCACCAGUGUUAACAGUCAAGAUAAAGAAUUUUAGCUGUUAAACACAUUGCAUGUAGGAGUAGCAAAAUAACCUGAGGGGUAUGGUAAAUUCGUCUGGCAUUGUUGGAAACAAUUUUUUCAUUUGUUUUUAUAAAAUAAGUUAAUGGUUUUCUCAUUACUAACUCUGACUUCCUUACCACAAGACAAAUAAACAAUCUGAGGACUGAUUAAAGGUCUCUAGAAAAUUGUACACUUUUAUCUUCUGAUCACUUGGUCUUAUGACCAGUGUAAUUUUAUUAGAACAGACAGUGAUUGUACUAGAUAGCAGCGGACUCGGAGUACACCUACGUUCUGUGUUGUUCAACAGAAACUUAAAAGGUCUGUUUUAUGAUCACUGCUCACGUUGUGUGACUGGAAGUAGUGUGGAAUUUUGCUUGGGUCUAUAAAAUUACCUGUGCUUGAAACCCCACCACUGGGUUUUUUCUGCUACACAUUUGCAGGUACAUAACUGCAUGCUUGAGAAUAGGUUUGCUGAAUGAGCGUUCUACAGCAAAACAGCCAUGCUGUCAUGUCGGAAAUGAACAGUAAAAAGAACAGAAUAAAAGAGUUCAGGAAUACCUUGGAGAAGGAGAGACUGAGAGACUAGUCAGAGAAAUUAUUUUAGCAGUUUUGCGCUAACACGCUAGCGUUUACUUUCUGUGUAGUUAGGUAAGAGAAAGCCACAAGCAGACUGUAGUGACUUUCUUCCCAAGUGCAGGAUUUUCUCCACACAUCAGUUUUUGAUGGUAUCUGUGAUCAAAGGGACGUGCGCUGUUCAUACGCUUCCUCUGUACUUCAGAACUGGUGGUGACCUGGAGGGUGCACAAGUGCCCUUGUGUGGUUGCCUGGAAACUUUGGCCCACACAAGUGUCAACUUUCUUUCAUGGCUAUAAAGGCAGACGGAGCCUCACAGAGAGCUUUAGUCUUAGAGAAAAAAAGGUCCUUGUGUGUUUUAAAACAAGUGUCUCACCAGGAGAUAAUGGUAGAGCAGUGGGUUAUAAAUGAUGUAUUUUGUUCACUUCGCCUUGAUAAUGGCACAAGGGAAAAAAAGUUCAUCGUUCUCUUAUCAAAAUACUGUGACAUUUCUCCUUCAACUGUAAAAUUUCCUAUCACAUUCCUCUCUUGCAACAGCAACUAAAUUUACUCGAUUGUGGAGACUAUAUAAUCUCUCAUCAAAAGGUGUCUUUUUUAUUCUUUCUUUUCUCCCUACUUACACUUCAGGAGAAGCACCAAGGUUGCUAAAAUCGUCCGCGAAUUAAUUUUUCUUCUAAGGCUCAUAUAAAUUAACUAGUAACUAUUAUACUGUGCCACACAGACUCUUCCUCUUGGCCAAGGGCAGUGUGCCAUCUUCACUCGUCAUGUUUGUUUUUUUUAACACUGACCACAUUCACUGCUUCUGAUGCGUUUUUAAGUAAGAAAAUUAUAAACGAAUGUGUCUACUGAUUGUUGAAGACCAAAAGCACUGAAGAACAGUUGAACCUCUCUAGAGUACUAAGUUAUUUUCAGUAAGUACAGAUUUGUGUUUGAUACAAUGUGUGACAUUUCUAUUCCUGCAAUUAAAUAACUUUCUGUAACAUUUCCAGCUUGCGAAAGUGCAGAUCUGCGUGUUCUUCUUGGGGAAGCAUGUUCAUUUAAGUUUUUGCCUGCCAUCUGCCCGAGCAAUGGUUCCCAAAACACGUUUCCACAGCACACUGGCAGUGCUCUGCUGGGGACGUCUGUGUGAAUGCGGGCGCAUUGUUUGGGGCUGUUUCCAGUGCGGCUGUUCUGAGCCAGCUGACGUCCAUGCAAAGGGAUUCCACCAGCUUUGGAUAAAAUUUGCCUUUUUCUCUACAAACUAUCAGUAAGCUUGCAUGUAUAGGUUAUAUUUCAUCUGUGUGAGCUGUUGCUCUGAUACAAAGGGACAACCACUUACAAAACCAGGGGACAUAUUACCACAAAAUACUUGUCUGCUUCCAUGACUGUGAUUGUAAACACCAUAAAAUAAAGUGUUCAAAGUAUGUGUCAAUUUGCAUUUUGAGAUUUACUACUAUAAUGAUUCUAAGAGUACUGAAAAAACUGUAAAGACAUUUUUUGCUUUGUAAGCAAAAUUCCCACCGAGAAUGUCCCACCCUGCAGAUUUGGCCCACAUCACUGGUUUCCAGUGGUGGUAUAUGGAAAGAUACUGGGUAACUGCAGAAUAUUGUUGUUAGCUGCUGAAAUGUUUAUAAAAAUGCAUACUAUACUAUUGCUAAAAUGUAGAGGUAAAUCUCUAGAUGGGAAUGCACCUUGGAGAAAGUAGUAGCUUAAUGAAAGCGUGUAAAGUUGCUUUGAGUUCAGACUGCAGGCAGAAAAAUCUUUUGUUUCUUCCAACACAGCAAAUAUUGGAGAAGUUAUAGUGCUAAUGUAAUGAUUGACUUCUUACAGUGGAUCCUGCUCAGAAUUACAAUGUUCUCAGAAUUAAUCUCCAGAGACAUCUAGAGGAUAUGUGACAUUCCCUGCAGGACUUAGAGGCUUGAACUUCAAUAAUAGUCACUAUAGCAUUUAAAAGAAACACACACACACCAUUAAUUAAGUGAAAAUGCCCCAAUACCAAAUGACAGCAUGGAUAAAAUCUACAUAUAUGUGUGAAUGUGUUCUGUGCCUGGCCUGUAAAUGUUCUGUUUCAACCAACUGUGACUUUUUAUAUUUUAGAGAAGAGUUUUCUGCUGACUGGAUCAUCGUUUGGGAGAAAUUUGAAGUGGUGUAAUAUAAGAGCACCAAUGUUUUGUGAUACAUGUGACAGCUGGGGUUGAAACUGGGGAUAAGUGAAGUUCAUUUGAUGUUACAUGUCACAUGGCUUUUGGAAGAUCCGUUGUCUUUAAUCAUAAUCUCCUGAAACAAAAGCUUAUGCGUGGACUGUUUGUGAAGUGCAUAACACUGUUUUCAUGUUUUACAAGAGAAGGCACAGCCAUCUGUUGCAUUUGGAAAACUGUUGAAGAUAUUUUUAUGCAAAACACUUAUUUUAUUAACAGUGCAACUCAAGAAAAGCUCUUGGUUUAAAAUUACUUUUACAUUUUUAUUAGUUGAAACUAUAAGAUUACUUUGUAAUAGAAUUUUUAUUUGAGUUGGAAUGGUCAGUGGAAAUGAUCGGCAUACCCAAUACUCCCAUUGCUAUGCAAAAGUAGUUUUGUUUUUCUGGAAUACAGGAAAUUAUACAGUGCAUGCAAAUAUUAAUCAAUGAAUAUAUGCUUUAAAUAAUUUGGAUUUGGGACUUACAUUAUUUUUAAAUAGUUUGGAAAAGUGCCUAACAGUUACAGACUGUGGUGAGGACACUUUGGAGUAAGGCAAAGUCAAGAUGCUUGUUCUUACUUUACCUGCUCACAAGUACAGGUAUUUUUUAGUGUUUUUUUUUUUUUUUUUUUUUUUAAUCUGUUUGCUGUCAAGUGGCCACAAUUGCUGAAUUGCAUUUUAUUUCAUACUUCGAUAUCAAAUGUUAAUACAGUGGAGGAAACUUUAAAAAAAGGUUUUAAAAAAAAAAUAAUGAUAUGCAGUAUGAUCAGUAUUGUCCCCUGACAAAGAAGCUUGUGGCCAAUCAGCUCCUCAACUACCUUUGCCUUAGAAAAAGUUCACAUUAAAAAGUAGCUAUAAUAAAUAAAACUUGCUUUCAGUCCCAUACACAGGACCGAUGGUUUGCUCUGUGGAAUAAGACUGUAUGUAGUGGAGCUCUCUUCCAUAUUAUAAAAUAGUUGUAGGUAGAGGGGAUGGAAGUUCUUAAGCUAGAAGCAGUGCAGGAAGGGAAAUAGGAUGCCUCAGAAAUAGGAUGCAAAGAAACUUAUAAAAGAGCCAUUCUGUCUGGAUUUCCAGCUGGGUGAUGAUGGAGCAUGGGCCCUUGUGAGGUUGGAAGGCCAGCAGGGAGGUAGGUGUCCUUGAAAGAUGGAGUGUGUAAGUGUGGUUCAGUUGCAAAGUCUGUGGCACUGUUAGAGUUAUUGCAGUAAUGCUGAAUUUUAUGAUUCGCUGAUACUGUCUUGUGGAAACAAAAAGAAAGGUCUAAGAGGAAAACCAGAAGGCCCUUGUAAAAAAAAAAAAAAAAAAAAAGAAAAAAAAAAGAAAAAAAGGACGCUCUCAUUCUGUAUAGUUAAAAUGAACUUCUGUUCUAUUAUGUAAAUUAGUUUUGCACUUGUAACACUAAGAUGGUUUGAUUGAAAGAACAUUUUUGCUUGAAGGUACACACAGUAUCAAAUGAGGUAAAAAGAGAAGGGUUCAUUGAAGGAAAUGGAGGCACAAGCAGCUUUUACUCCUACAUUGCCUAUCUUACAUAGCCUUGAGCAUUCCUUUCCAAUAAAGAGAAAGGAAAAGUCACUGGGAACCCCCAGAAAGUUGCUCCUUUUUUUCUCCUACACUUCCUUUCAUCUGUGUGUAAUACAUGGGUACAUAAAUAGCCCAUGUAACCCUUCUCUUCCCCCCUUUCUGGCCCACCUUCUCUCUAUUUUUUCCAACAGAUAAUCUGAUUUACAACAUAAUUAUGUUCACUAAUUAAUAAUGUGCAGCUCAGGAGAAGGAAAGUCAUUUAGUAUGGAAAAAUUAUGAUGUAGAUUUAAGGGUUCAGAUAUGUGAAAAUGUUUUGGUGGAAUAGCAAGUUUCCUACACUGUCUAACUGUUGGUAACUGUCCAUUAUUACACUUUAGAUCAUGAAUUUAGAGUGCUUUGAUUCAGUCCUUUGGCCAGCAUUCAUUUACACAGCUUCUUUUUUCCCUUCUUCAAGCUGCAAGUCCAAAACACAGUGUAGUUCUACAUUUAUUGACUUCAGAAAAAGGACUUGAUGCCUCAGAAAUGUCAUUAUAUGCAAAAUGUCUGCAGAGUGGGGAAGGUAAAAUAAUUGGUAGCAACUUUCUUCCAGUGGAAAGUGAAGUCCAAUGCAACAGUAUAAACCUUAAAGCUCUAGGGCAGAUCCCAAGAAAAUGUUCUGUUGUGUGCAAUGGGUUGUAGUGGAUGAGUUUUGUAAAACUGAAUAGUGUUGCCUUGGUGUAAUUGUUAUGAAUGUAAACAUAUGUGAAAGGGGAGAAGGCAGUAGUAUAAAAGUCAUAAUGACUAGAAUUUCUUCCUUUGAAAUAUACUCACAUGUCAAAAGCUACUUUCUUGCACAGUAAAUUGGAUCACAGCAAAUACAUUAUUGAUUAUGUUAUUGUAAAUCGUUUGCAGGUGAGAGAUAUUUUGUAUUAUUACUUGUUCAGAGUCCAACAAUCAUGAGAUAAAAAGGACAAAUUGGAAUUUCACUUGAUGGAGUCCUGCACAUCAGAUAUUCUUCUAUCUGAGGCUGCCAGUAGUGCAGCAGAAAUGCCUAAGUGGUAUUAGGUAGAAAACUGACAGCAGCCUGCAUUUCUGGAACUGGACAGCAGAAAUCAGACCUAAUGCAAGGGAGCAGUCAAGGCUGCAUGAACAGAUGCUGAACUUCUCAGAGACCACAAUUUGUCAUCUCAAAAUAUUUCGGAGAAAAUCAGUGCAGAAUUUCACAUUCAUCAUGGCUUUAUUUUUUAAUUAAAGAAGAACAGCAAUCAUUAAAAUUAGCUUUUGCAUAUUCCAGAAAUGCCUUUGACAGUACGUUUGUGCAAAGGAGGAAGGAACUGCAGAGAUAAAUUCCAGUCAUCUCAGUUUUCAAUGGAAAUCAAAAAACGACUGGGAGAAGGUUAAGAAGUAAUGGGGUGAACAUUCUUGAGAAACACUGCAAAAUUACACGGAGCCAUCAUGUUGAACAUGCAGGGCCUAAUCUGAAACCUGCUGAGGUCAAUUAAAAUCUUGAUAUUAAUUUUCUCAGGUUUCAGAUUAACCUCAUCUUUAUUUUGUAGAAUUAUAUUAUGAUGGAUUUUUUCUAUCCUCAGGCUUACAUGCUUUUGUCUUCACACUUUCUGUAAGAUUCCCAAUAAUGCUAUUUUUAAUUUGAUGUUCAGGUUCUACUCCUUCCUGUGAGAAAUACAUUUGUAAUGCAAAUAGAAGCUGGAAAAUGGUUGUCUGAAGGUGGUGUUCUUAUACCCGCACUGUUCUUUCUAAAAUGCCAAGUAUUGUCUGAUGGAAAUAUUUAAUAGUUUGACUCUAAAUUAUUUAAAUAAAUAUCCUUUAUUAAAUGAAAUUGCAGAAGUGGUUGUUGUGACAGUGUAAUCAUUUACUCAAAUUACCCAUCCUUGUAGAUAUUUUUCCUUUGUUUCAACCUCUGUUUUCACUAAUAUACAAUAACUCUGGAUCUAUAUUUCAGAACAACAGAUUAUUUUAGACUGUGUCAAUGAAAAUACUAAUUGGUCUUAUUUGUGGUACAUCAUUACAGUGAGUUAAGUUUAUCUGUGCUGUGCAUAGGUAUGGGUUUAGUACUGAUUGACUGUUAUUAUGUAGGCUCUGGCUACAUUCCAGCAGUGGUGCAGCUGUAUCUGUACAACUGUGUAUCACACCAAAAUCCC